UAGUUACUUGGGACAACAGUUUUAGCAGGGCUCUCUUUCUCCUUUCCUGAUCUCUCUGUUAAGCUGCCUGGCUCAUUUGAUAUCACAUCCAAAUUAUCAGCUGAUUGCUCUAUUGUUUUGGACAAUGCCCUGAAGCAUACCAAAAUGUGUCUGGAAUUGGUGGGUUCUUGGUCUUACUGACUUUAAGAAUGAAGUUGCGGACUUUUGCGGUGAUCCACCCUACCACAUAUUGUCUCCUAAUGGCCGUCCAGUUUAUCCUGGAGCCCUUGCAUGACACAGGCCUAUCGAAGCAUAGGAGAUGCCAAUAUUUUACCUCUUGGGUACUUUCUGUGUAGAAGAUUCAUAACAAGAACAAUACUUAUUCUGCAAUUCUUUAUAUAAAGUAAGAAGAAAGCCCAAAGACAAAACCAGAGGCAACUGGCUGCUGCAUCGCCCACCUAGUGGCAGUAGUGUGAGCUAUGGACAAAAGAUCUAAGUCUCCAGGACAAAGAGUUGUGCAGCUGCUCAUUUUCCUGUUGACUUCUGUCUAAGACUUGGAGAUGUUUGUAAGAUUGGGACCUACCUACAGAGCUCCAGAGGGAAGUGAGAAGGAUGUUCACUUGCUGGUGAGAGAAGGAGCUGGUUCCAUCCAUUACGCAGUCCCCUGGGAGCGCUAAAUGCAACUUUAUCUCAACGGGGAGUGGACGAUGAGCAGGACGUCGCUAGAGGGAAAGAGCCUCACUUCCCGUUUCCUUUGGCAGCGCCCUUUUCCCGACCUAAGGGAGCAGACCUUCGUUGGUUGGCGUGAGGACUGGCGGGAGAGGUUUUGUGCCAGGAUCCGCACUGUCUGGGGUGAACGCUCCUCACCUUUGACCUGAACCGCCAACUUCCCAUCCUCCACUUUUGGAGAGCGCGCCUGAUAGCUGCUGCCCACCUGGGCACUGACAUCCUCCUUCCGACCGGGUGCGGAGAAAGCACAAAGGAAGUAGACCAAGGAGACUGAAGGUGGUUAUGAAGACUGUGCAUCUCUGAGGACAUCUUAAACAAAGAUGACCCAAAUCUUUGAUCUUCAAAUAGUCGAUGUGAACUGCUUAACAAAAUGCCCUGGGAAAACUCUGUCUGAAACAAGCAGCUUGGGGGUUUGAUUUCAUUAGUUACUGGACAAGAACUGGAAUGGAGUGAAAAAUCUUCAUUCAUUUCUUGGUCAGAUGGAGAGAGGAGAAAAAAAGAAGUGGGUUUCCAUUCACUUCCAUUUUCUAACUGAUCAUUAGUUAGAGAACCUUUGGAAAGGUUUAGCUCAGUUUUUUCUUCCAACUUAUCAGGUUCCUCAAGAAAUUCACUGCCUUGAGAUGACUUUGAUAACCCAUCCAAAUCCAGUGACUUAAAACCGUUAUUACAAGGGCUCUUGCUGUUGUCUGACUCUGACAUCAUUGAAUCCAACUCAGAGAUUUUGUCAAGGUAAGCAGCAUCCAUCGAUGCUUCACUGGAUGUUCUUGUCCGGUUCAUUUCAAAAGAGCGAAUAGAAUUCAACCUUUUGGAUAAACAUAAGCCUGAUUUCUCACUCAAUUUUGAAGAUAUUUCUCCAACAGAAUUUGCUAUCGUGUUCCCCUCUGAACUUUCAAAAUCUAAGUUUUGGGCAUAGCUUGUGGAACAACAGUCCCAAAAUCCUGUCUUUGGGGAAGAAAAACAUUCUGAUUUCUUUUCAUUUUCACUUCUACUUAUAUCAUCUUCUGAAGAAUCUUUAUUAGAAACAUUUGAAGAAUCACAAAAAUCAUCAAACACCAAUUUUCUGAGAUGGUUUGAGUGCUUUUUGGAACCUCCUGCUUGGACCACAGAGCUCUCUCUAUUUUCUGGAGUACUGAGCUGAAGGCAACUAAGGGACAAAGGAGUACAAGGAGCUGGAAGAUCAUAAAGUUCUUCAUCUUUGUAGGGUACACAGUCACUUGGUUUAUUCCCCCAUUCUCUUUCCAAAUAAGUAUCCAUACUUGUAUCUGUCACAUCUAACAUUACUUCUACCUGUUCUUGAUAUAGGUCUUUGUUCUUAGAACAGUUAAGGUCUGCUUUGCUGGUACUUUCCUGCCUUGCAGAACUGGUGUCACACAGUCUGCUGCUGGAAGGCUUCGCUAGGUGAGAAGAACUGGAGGUGGAUGAGCCAGGCUGCUUUCUGGCACUAUCGCCUUGAUUCUUUGACACCACAUCCUCCUCACUGCCUUUGCUCCCUUUGCCAUCUGCAGAAAGUGCUGUCUGGCAAAUGGAAUUCAUAGCUUCUUUCUCUUCACUUGAAUUUUUUAGCUGUGCAACUUGAGAUUCUAGUUCCUCUAUAUACUUAUCACUUCGUUCCAGGGCUUUCUUGAGGCGAUUGGUUUCACGCUCAUACUGUUCUACUUUGGACUGAAGAGCAGCAACUGCAAACCUUCCAAACCUACAAAGAAUGGAAAGAUAGUUAAUCUUAUAACUCAAGCUUUUUUCUUUUCAAGGUUUGAGAGUGCAAACUGUCCCAGGCUAUUCUAAUUUCACCUAACAGUGACAUUUCAGACCACUCAAUGAGUAGGGCAAAUGCCAGAUGUAUAUUUUCAAAAAAUGGUUUCCCCACUUACAUAAUAAUAAACAUAUGAUAAUAAUAG
Molecule: long non-coding RNA, 2603 nt
Filed under: Homo sapiens (human)
Lineage: Eukaryota; Metazoa; Chordata; Mammalia; Primates; Hominidae
Description: HSALNT0374209
Source: RNAcentral